UGGGGAAUAUUGGACAAUGGGGGGAACCCUGAUCCAGCCAUGCCGCGUGUGUGAAGAAGGCCUUAUGGUUGUAAAGCACUUUAAGCGAGGAGGAGGGUACUGGUAUUAAUACUACCAGGUACUGGACGUUACUCGCAGAAUAAGCACCGGCUAACUCUGUGCCAGCAGCCGCGGUAAUACAGAGGGUGCGAGCGUUAAUCGGAUUUACUGGGCGUAAAGCGUGCGUAGGCGGCUAAUUGAGUCGGAUGUGAAAUCCCCGAGCUUAACUUGGGAGUUGCGUUGGAUACUGGUUAGCUAGAGUGUGGGAGAGGAUGGUAGAAUUCCAGGUGUAGCGGUGAAAUGCGUAGAGAUCUGGAGGAAUACCGAUGGCGAAGGCAGCCAUCUGGCCUAACACUGACGCUGAGGUACGAAAGCAUGGGGAGCAAACAGG
This 430-nucleotide ribosomal RNA is filed under the name Pseudomonadota bacterium. Its description in RNAcentral is "Proteobacteria bacterium partial 16S ribosomal RNA". It matches the Rfam family "Bacterial small subunit ribosomal RNA", at positions 355 to 776 of the family's 1533-position model. The record is from RNAcentral. Lineage: Bacteria; Pseudomonadati; Pseudomonadota.